GACGAACGCUGGCGGCGUGCUUAACACAUGCAAGUCGAACGGAAAGGCCCUGCUUUUGUGGGGUGCUCGAGUGGCGAACGGGUGAGUAACACGUGAGUAACCUGCCCUUGACUUUGGGAUAACUUCAGGAAACUGGGGCUAAUACCGGAUAUGAGCUCCUGCUGCAUGGUGGGGGUUGGAAAGUUUCGGCGGUUGGGGAUGGACUCGCGGCUUAUCAGCUUGUUGGUGGGGUAGUGGCUUACCAAGGCUUUGACGGGUAGCCGGCCUGAGAGGGUGACCGGCCACAUUGGGACUGAGAUACGGCCCAGACUCCUACGGGAGGCAGCAGUGGGGAAUAUUGCACAAUGGGCGGAAGCCUGAUGCAGCAACGCCGCGUGCGGGAUGACGGCCUUCGGGUUGUAAACCGCUUUCGCCUGUGACGAAGCGUGAGAGACGGUAAUGGGUAAAGAAGCACCGGCUAACUACGUG
Molecule: ribosomal RNA, 468 nt
Filed under: uncultured bacterium
Lineage: Bacteria
Description: partial 16S ribosomal RNA
Rfam family: Bacterial small subunit ribosomal RNA
Source: RNAcentral